Molecule: signal recognition particle RNA, 272 nt
Filed under: Candidatus Woesearchaeota archaeon
Lineage: Archaea; Nanobdellati; Candidatus Woesearchaeota
Description: signal recognition particle sRNA
Rfam family: Archaeal signal recognition particle RNA
Source: RNAcentral
UUGUAGGCUAGGCUGGGUGUUUAGGCCGCACCUGUAACUGUAAACGGUCUUUAGCAGAGCUGAAGCUUGGAAGGCGGCAUGAUUAUUUUGCUAAGUCUUGGCAACUACAAGGAUAUUCUGUCCUGAUUGGUUGUCAUGAUUGCGAAGGGUGUGAGGCCAGGAAUGGAGCAACACUAAGCAAUUAUGUCAAUGCUUUUAGGGGCGCGGGAUUGAGGAAUGGCCGGGGUUAAACUUAGUAGGAUAGUUGUGUCCACUUUCAGGCAUGCCUACGU